RNAcentral lists this long non-coding RNA (684 nucleotides) under Capra hircus (goat). RNAcentral describes it as "lncRNA (ENSCHIG00000004767.1)". Lineage: Eukaryota; Metazoa; Chordata; Mammalia; Artiodactyla; Bovidae. The record is from RNAcentral.
CCUUUCCCGUGUCAUAAAGGAACAUGCCUUCAGGGGGCCAUGUGCUUCUCUACUCUCAGCCCCUCGUGACUCAAUGACCUGAGACCAGGCCGCUGAGCUGCUCAGUGUCGUCCCACCUGUCUACCAGCAGCCCCUCCUUCUUCUUACCAGUGCAUCCCUGAAUGAUGAAAAGAUCUCCAGCGUUUUGUUUUUCACAAGCAUAGUUAAACACUAUGAAGAUUCUUUAUGAAUUCAGAGGCUCCACAAUGGCAUGUCAAGAAGCUGUUCAACCCGCCUUCACCACCUAGUUCAGGUGACAGCGAUGAGGAGGGCAACACAGGUGGCAGCUGCCCCUUUGGUCUGGAAGUUCCUGGGCAGCUAGUUCAGAGGCAUUUGCACCAGCUGGGUUCAGGUCCUCCCUGGCUCCGGCCACUCACAGGGCCCUGCAGAUGCAGAGGAAGCUGGAAAGAAACUGCGGCUGGUGACGCCUGCUGGUGGCAACGGAUCUAUCUAGAAACACCUGGCUGUCAGUCCUGGAAUGACCAUAGGAGACAGGGCCGGGGAUCUGUGCAGCUUCACAGAGGCAGUCAGGCCUGCAGCAAAGAUGGAGCCAGGAGCCAGGCCUGCAGACUGUGUGGAGAAACUCUUGCAAGCUUGGAGAUGGAGACUGCCCCACUGGCCAGAUGGAGGACUUCUAAGGGGUAA